Long non-coding RNA from Rosa chinensis, 1580 nucleotides. RefSeq lists it as uncharacterized. Lineage: Eukaryota; Viridiplantae; Streptophyta; Magnoliopsida; Rosales; Rosaceae. The transcript has 2 exons. The record is from RefSeq and is a predicted model, not a curated record.
AUAUUCCCCCAUCUGUUUCCAUGACAUAGCAGAAAAUCUCAUAUUUGUGUAACAUCAGACAUUCCAUGAAGCUUCUGUUCAUGUUAAAUAAGAUGUUUUCCUUUAUUUGUAUUAAUGAAUGAAAUUGUGCAAAUUACGAUGGGCUAUGGCGUAUGGGAAUCCUUGCCUUUUACUUCUCUAUUUCAAGUAAAUUCUUUUAUCAUCAUUAUCCUUUUUCUUGUGCAUUGAAUGUCGAUUUUAGCUCAAAAAAUGGGAGGUAUAUGAAUAUAUAAGAUACCAGUCAAUUUCAUGGGAUGUCUGAUGCGUCUAAUGAGAUAUGAAUUCAAUUUCAAUUCAGAAUAAGAGCUCAAGAAAUGGAAUAGUCCGAAUUGAAAACAGUAGGUUUUGGCAAUGAUGUUUGAAUAUUUUAUCACUGCAGCACAUUAACUAGUGAAUGCUUGUUCACUGGUUGGUUUUAAGCGACGAGCUACUUCACCUAGCACUAUUCUAAUUCUUAUUCUGGUUUUCUUGAUUUGAAUAUAAUGUAUGUUUUUCUCUUCUUGGAAGGUAUUGAUUCACUAUUCCUGGAGAUUAGUGAAGAUGUUCUUUUGUUUUCCAGCUUUGAGACACUAGUUGGAUAUGAAAAGGUGUUCCUCAUAUUUGUGAUGACAACAAUGGAAAUUCUUUAUGUUCUUAUCAGAAAGACCCCGGUGCAAAGUUUGGAUUCAUGCUUCAAAUUGAGCACAAAAUGAAUCAUUUAUUUCCAUCACAUAGUAUCCUCCUCUUUAAACUUGUUUACCCACUAUAUAGAGCUUUAAUUCACAUCCUUUUCUUACGUAAUUGUUUCUUCUGCAGUUUAAUGGCUUCAUUGAUUUGGAUGCAUAUGAUAUACCACAUCAUUAAAAGUUAAAGGAGAUUGAUGAUCCUACAUAUCCAUGAUCGAACAGAAAACUGGGAACCGACCUGGACAAGAAGAAGCUGGUUUCAGGCAGGUUAAAGUAUUUGUACCGUCCCAUAGACAACUGGUUCCUCGAAAUGGCAAGUUCUACCUUUCUCAUUGUUUCUUGCUUAAAGAGUUGAUAUCAUGGACCUGGCCGUCAUGCUAAGAGUUUCAUGUUUAUUGACUUAUUGAGUCAUCAAUAUCUUUCUGCCUAUCUCGGUACCAUUGAUCAUGUGAUAUGUAUAUAGAAAUAGAUCAACACCAGGACACUUGGAAAAUAUGACUGCUCAUACAUAGCACUCACAACUUUGUUAAGGCAAUGUGAAUAAACUAUUGGCCUUCUGGAGCUCUGCUAAGUUUUGCAUGAUCUUCAGAAAUCUACCAACAUGGAGAGGGAUUGUUAUCUACUCCGAGAUGGAAAUCAAUCCUCCCAUGUUGUUGGCAUGUCUCUCUCAGUCAAUGCAUAAGGUAGGUGUCCCAGGUGCAAAAGCUCGUGUCCCAGGUUUUUGGCCAGGUGAUUUCAAGUUGGAUGAUUUAAGUGCUCAUGUGAUGUCGUACGAUAUUUUCGAGAGAUUCAGUAGCAAUCAAAUUUUGUUUUAUGGUAAUUAGCUUGUCAGAAGGUUUGAUAAUACACAACAAAUGAAUGCUCCUGCUGCUAUAA